UACGUAGGCAGCGAGCGUUGUUCGGAGUUACUGGGCGUAAAGAGUGCGUAGGCGGCGGCCUAAGUCUGGUGUGAAAUCUCCCGGCUCAACUGGGAGGGUGCGCCGGAAACUGGGUUGCUAGAGUGUGGGAGAGGCCAGCGGAAUUCCUGGUGUAGCGGUGAAAUGCGUAGAUAUCAGGAGGAACACCUGCGGUGUAGACGGCUGGCUGGACCACGACUGACGCUGAGGCACGAAAGCGUGGGGAGCAAACAGG
Molecule: ribosomal RNA, 253 nt
Filed under: uncultured bacterium
Lineage: Bacteria
Description: partial 16S ribosomal RNA
Rfam family: Bacterial small subunit ribosomal RNA
Source: RNAcentral